RNAcentral lists this ribosomal RNA (539 nucleotides) under uncultured cyanobacterium. Its description in RNAcentral is "bacterial SSU rRNA". It matches the Rfam family "Bacterial small subunit ribosomal RNA", at positions 922 to 1461 of the family's 1533-position model. Lineage: Bacteria; Bacillati; Cyanobacteriota. The record is from RNAcentral.
CGCACAACCGGUGGAGUAUGUGCUUUAAUUCGAUGCAACGCGAAGAACCUUACCAGGGUUUGACAUCCUGCGAAUCCCUUGGAAACGAGGGAGUGCCUUCGGGAGCGCAGAGACAGGUGGUGCAUGGCUGUCGUCAGCUCGCGUCGUGAGAUGUUGGGUUAAGUCCCGCAACGCAGCGCAACCCACGUCGUUAGUCGCCAGCAUUCAGUUGGGCACUCUAGCGAGACCGCCGGUGAUAAACCGGAGGAAGGUGUGGAUGACGUCAAGUCAUCAUGCCCCUUACAUCCUGGGCUACACACGUACUACAAUGCUACGGACAAAGGGUUGCAAGCUCGCGAGAGUCAGCUAAUCCCAUAAACCGUGGCUCAGUUCAGAUCGUAGGCUGCAACUCGCAUACGUGAAGGAGGAAUCGCUAGUAAUCGCAGGUCAGCAUACUGCGGUGAAUACGUUCCCGGGCCUUGUACACACCGCCCGUCACACCAUGGAAGUUGGCCACGCCCGAAGUCGUUACUCCAACCUUGUGGAGGAGGACGCCGAAG